GGCGGGCACUAUGGAAGACAGCAGCAUACAAUUAACUAUGAGACAGCCUCUCAGGGUGCUUACAAUUCAGAUGGAGCUAAGGCGUGUGUAUAAAACAAGUAUCUGAAACUGCCAACUGAACUGCUCCCGGGAAGGGACAGAAAUAAACCCAUUUUUCAGCAAUGUCUUAAUCCAAGGUCAGAAUUCUAAAUUUUUACUACUGUAAAAAUCAUCAAGCUUAACUAAACAUCAGAUCUUAAAUUUACUUAUUUUAGCAGCUUUAACCAAGUACUAGGAAUAUUAUAACACACAUACCUUAUUUUAAUAUACUCAUUUUUUAGAAGUUUCAAUUACACACAGAAUAUCGCACAUUUUACAAUAUAACAGAAACUCUGACAGUGACUAAAAAAUAUUCUGAAAUAAAGCGAAGGCCUGUGCUAAACUAAAGAUGAGAAAUGUUUUGUUCUGAUUAAAUUGCCAUGAAACUUUUGAUGGUAAUAAAAUUAAACUAAUAAUGAUGGCUAAAAUAUCUAACUUUUGAACCUUUCAGGUUUUCAAUGGUCUACAUUCUUGGGAAUGAAAAAAUAGUUAU
This 571-nucleotide long non-coding RNA is filed under the name Bos taurus (domestic cattle). Its description in RNAcentral is "long non-coding RNA NONBTAT018497". Lineage: Eukaryota; Metazoa; Chordata; Mammalia; Artiodactyla; Bovidae. The record is from RNAcentral.